RNAcentral lists this unclassified non-coding RNA (565 nucleotides) under Homo sapiens (human). RNAcentral's name for it is "poly(A)-specific ribonuclease (ENSG00000274829.4)". Lineage: Eukaryota; Metazoa; Chordata; Mammalia; Primates; Hominidae. The record is from RNAcentral.
CUCCAUGCCCUCUCUCACAUCUGGAUUCUUUUUUUUUUUUUGAGAUGGAGUCUCACUCUUUCACCAGGCUGGAGUGCAGUGGCAUGAUCUCGGCUCCCUGCAACAUCCGCCUCCUGGGUUCAAGUGAUUCUCCUGCCUCAGCCUCCCGAGUAGCUGGGACUACAGGACUUAAGUGAGUUUAAAGAGAUGACAACAUGUGUUUUCCCCAGACUCUUGGAUACUAAAUUGAUGGCCAGCACACAACCUUUUAAGGAUAUCAUUAACAACACAUCCCUUGCGGAAUUGGAAAAGCGGUUAAAAGAGACACCUUUCAACCCUCCUAAAGUUGAAAGUGCCGAAGGUUUUCCAAGUUAUGACACAGCCUCUGAACAACUCCACGAGGCAGGCUACGAUGCCUACAUCACAGGGCUGUGCUUCAUCUCCAUGGCCAAUUACCUAGGUUCUUUUCUCAGCCCUCCAAAAAUUCAUGUGUCUGCCAGAUCAAAACUCAUUGAACCUUUUUUUAACAAGUUAUUUCUUAUGAGGGUCAUGGAUAUCCCCUAUCUAAACUUGGAAGGACCAGACU